This 432-nucleotide long non-coding RNA is filed under the name Lupinus angustifolius (narrow-leaved blue lupine). RNAcentral's name for it is "long non-coding RNA (LANG_LNC002283)". The record is from RNAcentral. Lineage: Eukaryota; Viridiplantae; Streptophyta; Magnoliopsida; Fabales; Fabaceae.
UUGGGAAACAUACAAGGACAACCUUCUCACACAAGAGAAACGUCUUCAAUGUCUUCAUGGGUCCUCCUUGUUCUAAUGUUUGUGUUGGCGUUGGUGACAUUGGUCCCUAUCGAUGCCGAAAAGAAAGCCCCUUAGAACAUUGCCUAAGGCGAAUCAUUAAUCCGCCUUUGCUGCCACCAUCAUCACCACCUGCGACUAAAAUAUAUCAUUCAUGGUAUGAUAUUGAUCGCUAUAUUUGUAAUUGCAACAUUAUGUGCAGUUAAGGGGGAAAUUUCCUACUAAUUACUUGAAGGCACUUUGUAAUAUCUUUGGUAACAAUGAUCAAAAGGUGGAGCAUUACCUUAAGGGCAGAAUUUUCAUCCAAGAUUUUAAAGGGCUUGUAGCUGGUCGUACUUGUGCCACCAUCUGAAGGGGAAAAAGUGAUAUUCUUAG